CCUACGGGAGGCAGCAGUAGGGAAUUGUUCGCAAUGGGCGAAAGCCUGACGACGCAACGCCGCGUGGAGGACGAAGACCUUCGGGUCGUAAACUCCUGUCGGAGGGGACGAAAGUGGCUGAGAUCAAUACCCUCAGCUAUUGACGGUACCCUAAGAGGAAGCCCCGGCUAACUCCGUGCCAGCAGCCGCGGU
This 192-nucleotide ribosomal RNA is filed under the name uncultured bacterium. RNAcentral's name for it is "partial 16S ribosomal RNA". It matches the Rfam family "Bacterial small subunit ribosomal RNA", at positions 338 to 521 of the family's 1533-position model. The record is from RNAcentral.